This 550-nucleotide ribosomal RNA is filed under the name Neofusicoccum australe. Its description in RNAcentral is "eukaryotic LSU rRNA". The stretch from base 201 to 354 matches the Rfam family "5.8S ribosomal RNA". Lineage: Eukaryota; Fungi; Ascomycota; Dothideomycetes; Botryosphaeriales; Botryosphaeriaceae. The record is from RNAcentral.
CUAAGGUACUGCGGAGACAUUACCGAGUUGAUUCGAGCUCCGGCUCGACUCUCCCACCCCAUGUGUACCUACCUCUGUUGCUUUGGCGGGCCGCGGUCCUCCGCACCGACCCCCGUUCGGGGGCCGGCCAGCGCCCGCCAGAGGACCACAAAACUCCAGUCAGUAAACAUCGCAGUCUGAGAAACAAGUCAAUAAACUAAAACUUUCAACAACGGAUCUCUUGGUUCUGGCAUCGAUGAAGAACGCAGCGAAAUGCGAUAAGUAAUGUGAAUUGCAGAAUUCAGUGAAUCAUCGAAUCUUUGAACGCACAUUGCGCCCCUUGGUAUUCCGAGGGGCAUGCCUGUUCGAGCGUCAUUUCAACCCUCAAGCUCUGCUUGGUAUUGGGCUCCGUCCUCCGCGGACGCGCCUCGAAGACCUCGGCGGUGGCGUCUUGCCUCAAGCGUAGUAGAAAACACCUCGCUUUGGAGCGCACGGCGUCGCCCGCGGGACGAACCUUUGAAUUUUUCUCAAGGUUGACCUCGGAUCAUGUAGGGAUACCCGCUGAACUUAA